Molecule: ribosomal RNA, 869 nt
Filed under: uncultured archaeon
Lineage: Archaea
Description: bacterial SSU rRNA
Rfam family: Archaeal small subunit ribosomal RNA
Source: RNAcentral
CUCCGGUUGAUCCUGCCGGACCCGACUGCUAUCAGAGUGGGACUAAGCCAUGCGAGUCAACAUAGCAAUAUGUGGCAUACGGCUCAGUAACACGUAGUCAACAUGCCCAGGGGACGUGGAUAACCUCGGGAAACUGAGGAUAAACCGCGAUAAGUCACUACUUCUGGAAUGGGUAAUGACUCAAAUCUACAUGGCCCCUGGAUUGGACUGCGGCCGAUCAGGCUGUUGGUGAGGUAAUGGCCCACCAAACCUGUAACCGGUACGGGCUCUGAGAGGAGGAGCCCGGAGAUGGGCACUGAGACAAGGGCCCAGGCCCUAUGGGGCGCAGCAGGCGCGAAACCUCUGCAAUAGGCGAAAGCCUGACAGGGUUACUCUGAGUGAUUUCCGUUAAGGAGAUCUUUUGGCACCUCUAAAAAUGGUGCAGAAUAAGGGGUGGGCAAGUCUGGUGUCAGCCGCCGCGGUAAUACCAGCACCCCGAGUGGUCGGGACGUUUAUUGGGCCUAAAGCAUCCGUAGCCGGUUCUACAAGUCUUCCGUUAAAUCCACCUGCUUAACAGAUGGGCUGCGGAAGAUACUAUAGAGCUAGGAGGCGGGAGAGGCAAGCGGUAUUCGAUGGGUAGGGGUAAAAUCCGUUGAUCCAUUGAAGACCACCAGUGGCGAAGGCGGCUUGCCAGAACGCGCUCGACGGUGAGGGAUGAAAGCUGGGGGAGCAAACCGGAUUAGAUACCCGGGUAGUCCCAGCUGUAAACGAUGCAGACUCGGUGAUGAGUUGGCUUCUUGCCAACUCAGUGCCGCAGGGAAGCCGUUAAGUUUGCCGCCUGGGGAGUACGGUCGCAAGACUGAAACUUAAAGGAAAUUGGCGGGGGAGCA